CUUUCACCAGACAUGGUGAAUGCCAUAACACGGCUGACAGAGAAAAGACAAGACUGUGGUGUUCUGGCAGAAAACAUAUUCCUGUUUGCCAGACCUCAUUGUCUGACUCCCUACAGAGGACAGGACUGUUUGAGGAUUUAUGCGACUGAAUGUGGGGCUGAAAACCCUGAACACCUACGUUCAACGCAGUUGCGCAAACAUGUCGCAACUUUGUCUCAGAUCUUAAACCUCAAGAAUCACGAGUUAGACCAAGUUGCCAACUUCCUAGGUCAUGAUAUUCGUGUUCAUCGCGAAUAUUAUAGACUUCCAGAGGCUACUACCCAGCUUGCCAAAAUAUCCAAACUACUGAUUGCCAUGGAGAAAGGGUCUCUCAAAAGCCUUCAAGGCAAAACACUUGAAGAGAUUGAAAUCGAAGAUAACCUACAGUUGACAGAUUCAAGUGAAGAAAGUGAGGUCGGAGCGGAGCGUGAGGAGGUCGGAGCGGAGCGUGAGGAGGUCGGAGCGGCGCGUGAGGUCAAUGAAGGAAAUCUUGUAUAUCCACAGAUUGAUUCUAUAGAUACUAGAAUGAUGAAGAAAGUUGUCAAGGAACCUCCAGCACAAAGUAAAAAUGGAGCGGGUAAGGUCAUUGAACCCAACAGAAUACUAAACAAGGAGAUGAAGCCAAGCAGUAAGAAGAAAACAAAUAAACAAUCUGCUUCUCUGGAAAAUGCAAGGAGGGUCAAAAAGCAUCCUUGGUCUCCCACGGAGGUUGCUGCGAUAAUGAAGUAUUUUGGCGAACAUAUCAAAAAAGGAAAACUGGCCACUAUUAUCGAAUGCCAGCAAUGCAAAACUGCAGAAGAUCCUGCUCUGGCUGGUCGUUCUAUUCAAAACAUCAGAGAUUUUGUGAGGAAUCGGGGCGUGUCGUUGAAGAAAAAAGAAAAUCCUAUGUAGAGGAGUCUACAUAACUCCAAAGUACUUCUUGGAGGAGUUACAAAAGAUAUUUUGUAUGUUUUGGUUUCUCAUUUAUUUAUUUUAGAAUUUUACUAUUAGAAGAUUGGUAAAUUCAUUUUGUUGACACUGUUUUAGUGCAUCUGAUCUAAGAGGACAUAUAAUUUUAUAUUGCCAGUUAUUUUCAUUUCUGUUAACAAAACAAUCCUGUUUUUGUAAAAUGCACUCAAUUUGUUCCUUUUAUUCACCUGUUGCCCUUUUAAUACACACAAAAUACAUGUUUGUGUAUGUGUAUGGCCUUUGUCCUGUUAAUAAAGUUAGCCCUGACAAUUACUGUUCAUGUCAGGGGGAGGAGCCAAGUUACCUAAUUAGUGUUGUCCUCUUAUUACACCA
This is a long non-coding RNA of Astatotilapia calliptera (eastern happy), 1320 nucleotides long. Lineage: Eukaryota; Metazoa; Chordata; Actinopteri; Cichliformes; Cichlidae. The record is from Ensembl.